RNAcentral lists this unclassified non-coding RNA (263 nucleotides) under uncultured fungus. Its description in RNAcentral is "partial contains 5.8S ribosomal RNA, internal transcribed spacer 2, and large subunit ribosomal RNA". The stretch from base 1 to 52 matches the Rfam family "5.8S ribosomal RNA", at positions 103 to 154 of the family's 154-position model. The record is from RNAcentral. Lineage: Eukaryota; Fungi.
AACGCACAUUGCGCCCCCUGGUAUUCCGGGGGGCAUGCCUGUCCGAGCGUCAUUGCUGCCCAUCAAGCACGGCUUGUGUGUUGGGUCGUCCGUCCCUGUACCGGGGACGGGCCCGAAAAGGCAGUGGCGGCACCAGGUCUGGUCCUCGAGCGUAUGGGGCUUUGUCACCCGCUCCGAUUAGGGCCAGGCUGGCAGCUAGCCGACGUCAACCAUCUUUUAGCCAGGUUGACCUCGGAUCAGGUAGGGAUACCCGCUGAACUUAA